CUUUGUAGGAGUCCCGGUGGGUCGUUUUGCUCUUGGUUGAGAUUCGAGAGAAGCCCAACCAAACGGAAUCUUCUCCACCAAGAAUUUGCUUUCACCCCAUUGAUCUGCGCGCGCGACGCGAGACGACCAAGACGACGACUACGAGGUUUCCUGCCCUCGCAGGAACGCUUUCAUACCUUGACGGCGACGGCGAUUUGGUUGGAUUUUUUUUUUCCAGAUCCGCGUCAAUAUCAUCAUCGCGGGCCACUCUCUUUGGUGGAUGCGUGUGCAGGGUGUGGGCUGGGAGGCGACGUGGACAAGCACCGGCAGUCUUCCAUCCAUCGACACCGGGUCACCAACCCCCUCUCCUUGGAAUUUUUCGCCAAGUGGCUUUGCUCCCUAAUUCCUAGAGGAACUUUGCCAUCACUCUGAAACAUCAGAGGCGUAGAUUCUCUGUGGAGGAUGUCAUUGGCCAUCUGAGUGUUGAGUAGAAUUCGAGGGCAAAGGACUCGCACAAAAAAGGGGCCGAAGGGACUUCUGUAGCCAACAUGGUGAACCAGAGGAAUUUCAACUCCCACAAGACCAAGGGAAAGAACGGUGUCCAACACAAUACCGACUUUAAGAAGGGUAAGAAGACCUUCAAGAAGAACAAGAAGGAUGAGGGCUGCUUUACUUGUGGUUCGGUUGAACAUUGGGCCAACAAGUGCCCAAACAAGUUUAAGAAGUCAGGACAGGACUCCAAGUCUGUCAACAUGAUUGUGGGCAACAACGAGAAUGGUGCAUCUACGGUCACAGGCGACGGGUCCGUACUGAUGGGGAAUGGCGCGAGUGCUUCUGUUCAUGGUGUUGGCACGGUCGAUCUGAAGUUUACUUCGGGAAGGACCGUGCAGCUGAAGAACGUGCAGCAUGUCCCUGCCAUCAAGAAGAAUCUCGUUAGUGGCUCCCUUCUAUGUAGAGAAGGGUUUAAGUUGAUAUUCGAGUCUAAUAAAUUAGUUGUUACUAAGUAUGAACUAUUUGUUGGAAAAGUUUUUUUUGAGAGAAUUUGUUGGAAAAGGUUAUGAGAGCGAAGGGACGUUCCGCCUUGCCCUCGCAGAUUUUUUAAAUAAAGUUGUGAGCCAUAUUCAUUCGAGUGUUAAUGAAUCUGAAGUUUGGCAUU
Aegilops tauschii subsp. strangulata is the source of this 1135-nucleotide long non-coding RNA. RefSeq lists it as uncharacterized. NCBI's taxonomy places the organism in Eukaryota, Viridiplantae, Streptophyta, Magnoliopsida, Poales, Poaceae. The record is from RefSeq and is a predicted model, not a curated record.